AUUCGUAGAGAUCGGGAGGAAUACCAGUGGCGUAGGCGCCUUUCUGGACGGUUACUGACGCUGAGACGCGAAAGCGUGGGGAGCAAACAGGAUUAGAUACCCUGGUAGUCCACGCUGUAAACGAUGAGCACUAGGUGUAGCGGGUACCCA
Molecule: ribosomal RNA, 150 nt
Filed under: uncultured bacterium
Lineage: Bacteria
Description: partial 16S ribosomal RNA
Rfam family: Bacterial small subunit ribosomal RNA
Source: RNAcentral